ACGGGUGAGUAAUACAUCGGAACGUGCCCUGUAGUGGGGGAUAACUAGUCGAAAGAUUAGCUAAUACCGCAUACGACCUGAGGGUGAAAGUGGGGGACCGCAAGGCCUCAUGCUAUAGGAGCGGCCGAUGUCUGAUUAGCUAGUUGGUGGGGUAAAGGCCCACCAAGGCGACGAUCAGUAGCUGGUCUGAGAGGACGAUCAGCCACACUGGGACUGAGACACGGCCCAGACUCCUACGGGAGGCAGCAGUGGGGAAUUUUGGACAAUGGGGGCAACCCUGAUCCAGCAAUGCCGCGUGUGUGAAGAAGGCCUUCGGGUUGUAAAGCACUUUUGUCCGGAAAGAAAUCGCACUUACUAAUAUUAGGUGUGGAUGACGGUACCGGAAGAAUAAGGACCGGCUAACUACGUGCCAGCAGCCGCGGUAAUACGUAGGGUCCAAGCGUUAAUCGGAAUUACUGGGCGUAAAGCGUGCGCAGGCGGUUGUGCAAGACCGAUGUGAAAUCCCCGGGCUUAACCUGGGAAUUGCAUUGGUGACUGCACGGCUAGAGUGUGUCAGAGGGGGGUAGAAUUCCAC
RNAcentral lists this ribosomal RNA (574 nucleotides) under uncultured bacterium. Its description in RNAcentral is "bacterial SSU rRNA". It matches the Rfam family "Bacterial small subunit ribosomal RNA", at positions 102 to 672 of the family's 1533-position model. The record is from RNAcentral.